RNAcentral lists this ribosomal RNA (380 nucleotides) under uncultured eukaryote. RNAcentral's name for it is "partial 18S ribosomal RNA". It matches the Rfam family "Eukaryotic small subunit ribosomal RNA", at positions 592 to 976 of the family's 1831-position model. The record is from RNAcentral.
CAAUAGCGUAUAUUAAAGUUGUUGCAGUUAAAAAGCUCGUAGUUGGAUUUGUGGUGUACGAAGGCGGCCCAUCACAUUGUGGCGGUGCUUGCCUUUGUCGCCAUCCUUGGGUGGAUCCUGUGUGGCAUUAAGUUGUCGUGCAGGGGAUGCCCAUCGUUUACUGUGAAAAAAUUAGAGUGUUCAAAGCAGGCUUAUGCCGUUGAAUAUGUUAGCAUGGAAUAAUAAGAUAGGACCUUGGUACUAUUUUGUUGGUUUGCGCACCAAGGUAAUGAUUAAUAGGGACAGUUGGGGGUAUUCGUAUUUCAUUGUCAGAGGUGAAAUUCUUGGAUUUUUGAAAGACGAACUACUGCGAAAGCAUUUACCAAGGAUGUUUUCAUUAA